This 253-nucleotide ribosomal RNA is filed under the name uncultured bacterium. RNAcentral's name for it is "partial 16S ribosomal RNA". It matches the Rfam family "Bacterial small subunit ribosomal RNA", at positions 524 to 776 of the family's 1533-position model. The record is from RNAcentral.
CACGUAGGGGGCAAGCGUUGUCCGGAUUUAUUGGGCGUAAAGAGCGUGUAGGCGGCCAGGUAGGUCAGCUGUGAAAACUCGAGGCUCAACCUCGAGACGCCGGUUGAAACCAUCUGGCUAGAGUCCGGAAGAGGAGAGUGGAAUUCCUGGUGUAGCGGUGAAAUGCGCAGAUAUCAGGAAGAACACCCGUGGCUAAGGCGGCUCUCUAGUACGGUACUGACGCUGAGACGCGAAAGCGUGGGGAGCGAACAGG